This 491-nucleotide ribosomal RNA is filed under the name uncultured bacterium. RNAcentral describes it as "bacterial SSU rRNA". It matches the Rfam family "Bacterial small subunit ribosomal RNA", at positions 29 to 519 of the family's 1533-position model. The record is from RNAcentral.
AAUGAACGCUGGCGGCGUGCUUUACACAUGCAAGUCGAGCGAGGCGGCCCGCAAGGGCCAGUCGAGCGGCGAACGGGUGAGUAACACGUGGAUAACCUGCCCUGAGGUGCGGAACAACCAGGGGAAACUCUGGCUAAUACCGCAUGAUACCGAGAGGUCAAAGGUGGCUCGCAAGGGCUAUCGCCACAGGAGGGGUCCGCGUCCGAUUAGCUAGUUGGUAGGGUAAUGGCCACCAAGGCGACGAUCGGUAGCCGGCCUGAGAGGGUGAUCGGCCACACUGGAACUGAGACACGGUCCAGACUCCUACGGGAGGCAGCAGUGGGGAAUUUUGCGCAAUGGGCUAACGCCUGACGCAGCAACGCCGCGUGGAGGAUGAAGGUCUUUGGAUUGUAAACUCCUGUCAGCAAGGGAAAAGACAACUCGGCUAAUACGCCGGGGAGUUGAUUGUACCUGCAGAGGAGGCCCCGGCUAACUCUGUGCCAGCCGCCGCU